This is a long non-coding RNA of Strigops habroptila (Kakapo), 4506 nucleotides long. NCBI's taxonomy places the organism in Eukaryota, Metazoa, Chordata, Aves, Psittaciformes, Psittacidae. The record is from Ensembl.
GAGAGGAAGCAUUUGAAGCCACAUUCUACAGAAAUAUUUUGGAUCUAGUUGGCAAAAUAAAUGCAAAGUUUAAACCCGAUGAGCUUAAAACAAUUAACUUUUGAAUUGUAGUGUAUAAUGAAAAGGGAUAUACUUUGCAGCCCCUUGCAGCAUAAAACUCUUGCAGUUAUUUUAUUCUUUGGUCUUAAUCCUUGAGUUCUUCACGUACAAGAGUACUUCUGCUUAUAUCCCUUUUAUAAAGGUACCAAUCAAAUAGUUAAAGCUUUACAUCCUCACUAAAGAUGAGGUGACCUUCACCCAGCUGAAGCAGAAAUGUUUAUUUUUAGUUUUGGAAUGGCCUGUAAUAGCAUCAAUUAAGCUAUAUUAAAUGAUGAGUAACAACAGCAGCACUAAGACACACUCGUUCAAAAAACAGUACCCCCCCGAACAUUGAACUGCAGUGCUAAAGCAGUAAAGGGCAGACUACAGGAAGCAAAACCAAUUCAUAGCAGUGAAAAUCAUUAAAAUACCACAAAGUUAAAAUUAUUCCCUUCUUUCCAGUUUACUUGGUUGAAGACAGGUACCGAAUUCGGGGGGGAAGAAAAUAGGAAAAUAACCAACCUACAAAGCCAUCUCCAGUCCUUACACAAUUUAAACAUUCUCAAGUAACAGAUAUAGAUAAACAAACAUGAACUGCAAGUGUAACAUUUGAAAUGGCAAAACUAAUCAGUGAACCCAAACAUUGAAAGCUGUAAUUGGAUUCGGCACCUUCCCUGCCGUUAUACAGUAGUUACAUCACUCUGAAUCAGUAAGUGCAUGAGUGCUGACACUAACUGCCUUUGUUACACCGCUCCACCUCUACCCAGGAGCAGAGGUCGGAGAAGCUCUUUAAUUCGACCUGCACACUGCGAAGUGGAAUCUUGCGUUUUCAAAACCAGAGUUCUGUAUGUAUUCAUUCUGUGCCGGUGGAUUCAAGCACCCACGCAGAACCCAACUGAAAUCAAUCAGGUUCAAUGCAGCUGCAAUAUUUGAUCUUCCCAGAACAAGUUUCAGACCUGGUAGUCAAGUUAUCACUUUAAGCAACUCAAUAUCGAUGAAUAUUUAAUAAGUUUCUAUGGAAAAGAUUUAUCAAGCCAACAUUCAAUUCGCACCAAGUUUGGUGGUGUGGGGGUUUAUUAAAUCCUCUACACAUCUGAUGCAAAGUAUUACAAACACAGAUGGAAAAAACCCCAGAUCACUCACUCUGCAGAGCUGUUGGUGAAGCUGACAAACAAGUGUUUUGGGCCAUGGGCGUUGUAUACAAAGAACUCUCCUUAAAGGGAUUCCAAAUUUUGCUUUUUCUUCUGCAAUCUGGGAUUUAAAGUAUUUGCUGAUCUUUGAGAGCAAGAAGAGUGCAGGCAGGCAAGCGGGCAGCAGUCAUCAUCAAGAGCUGUAAUGGCGAAUUCUUUGCUGUGCUGCAAGCACCAGCUAUUUGGUAAGGCACAGCAGUGCGUGCAACCAGAGCAGUGGACUGUAACAGUGAUUUGAUUACCACAAGUUGCUGAAAAGUUCACACACACACACACCAAGUUUAAAAGACAGAUUCAUAAAAAUGCACAGAGAUUGUACCAAUGAAUCAAUCAUCUCUUUACAAGUGCUCGGAAAAACUAUCAUCUGGCAGCUGGCAGUGAAGAACUUCUCUUGAUGUUUGCACUGAAGGAAGGAAAAGAGCAGAAAAGAAUGCGUCUUUUCCUGUGCAGUUAUUACAUGCUACAACCCUGUCAUCCCGCAGACAUAAAGAAGGCGGCUGUACUUACCUCAGAUUCUGCAGCCAGCAAUGUAUAUAGUGAGGGGCACACUUACCGUACAGAAGUCCUAAUGACUGAAGUCUCAGACCUUAUUCCAGCCUCAGAAGCCCAAGAGGCAGAAUCAGGAAACAGAUUUCACGCUUGCUUGCAGGCAACCUCUUAGUAAGGGCUUGAAGAGCAAGACUGAUGGUCUGGAUUUAAGGCAACAAGCUCCAGGAAGUUUUCUAGUCCACACAAGAGUAAAAAUGAAAGCAGAGCAAGUAGGAUAUCACAACAUGCUGUGUUUCUUGACUGUGAGCUCUAAGUGAAGACUGAUGGUAACUGGGAUUUGUAAUCUCUCCCAAAUGAAUGCUCUGGGCAGUAACAUCAAGAGCUCAUAUUCCAGCCUUUCCCAUCUUGUGGGGCAUCUGAGGUCUCUUUCCUCAUUUUGGUCUUUCCCAGAUCUUGCAGACACUAAAUUAUCUUGGAGGCAUUUGCUCCUCUCAGAUUUGACUGAUGGGUUCAAAGUCAUUGGAGAAAAGAGGAGACAGAAUGAGGCACAGCCAGUGUAACAGCUCACUGCUGCUAAGAGAGAUGACCCCAGUUCUGCAUUUCCUUCCUCCCAUGCACCUCAUCACAUCAACCUGCCUACCCUGUGCUCGUCCUGCUUUUCCACAAGGGAAGUGGUCAAACAAGUGCUAUAGCUGGUGGUGGGAAAGUCACAGGAGUAUGUGACCACAGCAGAAGUGAGCAGGAUGCAGAGUGCAGCAUCAAUUCAGCCCAUCUUAUCGAAACACACACUUCAAAUGAAAAUACCAUGGAUGCAGUUGCACAUUACAAGGGAACCGUUACCAGAAACGAGGACCAUCCUGCUCACUGUCCACCCUGUUCCCUGCACUGAGCCAAUCCAACUCACUAAGCCAGCAGAAAGUCAACCAAGUGAAAACAAGCACCCAAAAAAUGUGUUUUCCCUUAGUAAAUUGAACUGGCUACUCACAGGGCACAAAGGCAGCAGAGACACAACCUGCACCCCACAGAAGCAACAAGCUGUGACACUAGCCCAGCCAUAACACACAGCCUUGCACUACAGAAUGACACGGGCUCCUUUUCUGUCACCUGGCGUUCCUGCAAACCAUUCUAAGCAUUGAAAAGCUGCUCAUUAUCAUCCCAGUAUCUGAGCAGCAGUUCCAAGUGGGAGGUUUUCUUUCUUCAAGAGAAGAUUAUACAAGCAACUCUGCAGCGAGCAGCCCACGCCUGGUUACCGUGUUUCCGAGAAGCACGGAGGUCUCUGUCAAUAAUACAACAGAAGCAGCCACUGCAGUUCGACAACACAGGCAGAACUGACACCAACCAGCAGAAGAGCUGGUGAGGCCAAGAAACAGCCCUUAGCAUAACACGGAUGAACACCGCUCUUUUCCAGGUUAAAAACAAAACCAUUUCUGGAUAUCGGCAAACUGACAAUUUUAUUGUUGCCAUGUCAUUUGGAAAAAUUCUCUGCAUAAAAUACAAUACCAAAAGCAAGUACGACAAAAAAGUUCAUGUGAAACUACUAUUUCCUCUUUAAAUAACGACAAACAGAAAACUUUCCAGCUUAUGACAGUUACACAGUAAAACAUCCCUGGCACAAGACGAGACAUGAGAAGUGGGAAGUGGAACAGGCUUACCCAUGAAAACUGACUGUGCUGACAAGAAGCAGGUGGACGGGGAAAUGGUAUGCAAUUGUUUUAGACUUCUGCAUCCUACACGAGGAAAAAUACAUGUGGACAAAAGUAAAUUAGCAUUUUAGUCAUGACUCUUACAAGAGUGACUUACAAACUGCGGAGCAGCAGUUACAGCAGCAGCAUGAACCAGCGGUACACUGAAACCUUCCAAUAGCUUGUGCAGCAACGAGAACAUAAAUUCUCAAAUUCUAUUCUGAGCUGCUUUAAUAAAAUAUAAGUUUACGAACUCAACCUUAUUCAAAGCCUUAUUCAGAAUGUAAACUCUGGAUAAUUUUCAGGGUUUGACUGCUAGUAUCAGGUUUCUAAUUUGUUUAAUCUCAUGAUACUGAACAGUGAUUUUAAAAGAACUGGAGAAUUCUCAUCUUGAUUAUUCCACUGCUGCUGUCUUGAGCUACAGAAUUCACUACCCUUGUUGCCCGAAAAUCAAGAUCUUUUUCAACACAGAAAAUGCAUAGAAAGCAGACCAAUCUUUAGUAAAAUGGCAGCAAUUCAAAUAUCCUUCAAAAUUACCUUUACCUUGAUGCAGCCAAAUGCAUGUGUCCUCAACUAAGUAUUCAGUACAGACCUCAAUAGUUGAGAACUCACCACAAAUUCCUCAAGCAGCUAUAUGAAAAUAGAGCAAGCCAGCAAUCUAAAACUAGAUAAGGCCUUAAUCUAUCUACAGAAAUACAAUAAUGAUUCUAAUUUUUAUAAAAAAUAUUAAUUCCACCAAAGGACGGUAAAUGCCUGUGGAGUAAAAACCCACAUGCAAGCUGCCUCAAGUGAUCAAAGAUGCUCGGAACAGAUUUGCCGUUUUUGGCUGAUCUUGCUUCUCUCAUCACAAGAUUCUAGUUUUGAAGUCAUGUUACAUGAACUCCUUCAAGACAUCUUCCAAGGCACAGGUCAGAGACUUAUUUUCUUUUCAACAUGCCAAGAACACGUCUUGAACACUGGCUGAUCCCCAACAACACCCUAAGGAUAAAACUGGAUUCCCCAUUUUAGCACUCUAACUUAAGAUGUCUUAGGCAGUAUUAAUGCCAGGGAGGAGGUCUAAUACAAUU